Molecule: ribosomal RNA, 254 nt
Filed under: uncultured bacterium
Lineage: Bacteria
Description: partial 16S ribosomal RNA
Rfam family: Bacterial small subunit ribosomal RNA
Source: RNAcentral
UACGUAGGGUGCAAGCGUUAAUCGGAAUUACUGGGCGUAAAGAGCUCGUAGGUGGUUUGUCGCGUUGUCCGUGAAAACUCACAACUCAAUUGUGGGCGUGCGGGCGAUACGGGCAGACUGGAGUACUGCAGGGGGAGACUGGAAUUCCUGGUGUAGCGGUGGAAUGCGCAGAUAUCAGGAGGAACACCGGUGGCGAAGGCGGGUCUCUGGGCAGUAACUGACGCUGAGGAGCGAAAGCGUGGGGAGCGAACAGG